GUCUACGGCCAUACCACCCUGAACAAGCCCGAUGUCUGAUCUUGGAAGCUAAGCAGAGUUGGGCCUGCUUAAAUGGGAGACCACCUAGGAAGACCAGGUGGUGUAGGCA
RNAcentral lists this ribosomal RNA (109 nucleotides) under Pteropus alecto (black flying fox). The record is from RNAcentral. Lineage: Eukaryota; Metazoa; Chordata; Mammalia; Chiroptera; Pteropodidae.